This 788-nucleotide long non-coding RNA is filed under the name Astyanax mexicanus (Mexican tetra). Its description in RNAcentral is "lncRNA (ENSAMXG00005021730.1)". Lineage: Eukaryota; Metazoa; Chordata; Actinopteri; Characiformes; Acestrorhamphidae. The record is from RNAcentral.
AUGCAGUCUACUUUUAGAGCGGAUGAAUCCGAUUCUAGGAUAUGUUCAGUCAACAUAUUGGAAACAGUGGCUCGGUGUGAAGCGCUGUUCUCCGGUAUUAAACUGUGUUUAGUGUGGAGUGUGGAGCCUGUCAGCGGGUCUGGAGAUACAGAGGAAAAGACAGAUCAAGUGGUUUAGUGUUUGCUCCGUCAUUUUAGAAGAUGGUUAAUGUACUGAAAGGAGUUCUUGUGGAAUGUGACCCGGCCAUGAAGCAGUUUCUCCUGUACCUGGAUGAGACGUCUGCUUUGGGGAAGAAGUUUAUUAUUCAGGACUUGGAUGACACGCACGUCUUUAUUUUGGCUGAAGUUGUGCCGAUACUUCAGGAGAAAGUUGGGGAGCUCAUGGACCAAAACUCUUUUCCCAUCACUCAGAAAUAAGCUCUGAAAUCUUGACGUGUUCUACUUGUCUCUUGGCAUUCCUGAAUCUGAGUAGCACUGGACUAAGAAUGUGUUUCCUAUGAUAAAUAUCUAAAACAGAAGAUUGUCUGCAAUGUUUCAUUGUUAACUUGUGUUUCACUGUUUUACGAGUAUGAAUCAUGCAUAUUAUUUCUAAAUGUUCCCAUUAUUGGUCUGUUACCAACUAGUGUUUAAAAAUGCUUUGAUCCUGCAGUGGAAAUAAAGCUGAUGAAAUCCUAAUUUAUUUUACUUUGAUUUGGCUCCAAUGAUGUAAAUGACCCUCUUCAUGUAUGAUCUUUUUAUUACAGGGUGGGGCUGUGAGGUGUUUAAUGAUGUGAUUUAGAACACUGAACA